UGAUGCAUGCCUCUGAGCACUCCUUAGGCGCUGGAUGAUGCAAUGCACAAUACAACAAACAUCCUAUUUAAAAGUGCUCCCCACACGGAAGCUUUUAUUUUUAAACUCUAAUUCAUUCAUUCAUGAAAACUAUUCGAAAACCUUUUUAAAACUGUUUCCCACACGAAAACUCUAUUUUGAAAAUCAACUAUCUCGAGGGGUAGAAAACCACGAUGCGUAAAUAUGUAUACAUACACAAAUCCGAGAACUGAAUAUUCAUAAAACCAAAACCAGUGAUCCACAAAAUCUCUAAUCAUACAUAACGGAAAUCACAAACAUUCAAACAUCUAACUGAACUAUUUACUAUUAACAACAACUAAAUGCGGGAAGAAAUAUAACCAGGGUGACGGUCGCUACUGCCGACUAGCUAGAUCGUCCUCCUAUCGAGGCCAAAUACCAAAUCCUCGUCCAUGUCACCUGGGGGGAAUGGGGGGUGAGAAACCGCAACCAUGGUUUUCCAGUGGGUACGACAGAGCCACGAAGGCAAGUCGUAAUCAUCGGAAACCAAAGGAGAUAGAACAACAGAUAUGAACAUGAUGUGAUAUAAGAGCAACUACAGUAGUAAUAGAAACAUGAUAAUAACUGAGCAAGAAUAAAACUACUACUGUAAUAAAAACUCAACUGAACGGAUGCCUCAAGGGUAAAUAGUCCAAAAUCAAAUCCAAUCUGAUACUGCUAUAUUGGUCCACCGACCUCAAGCAUUGUCUGUCACAGAGCAGACACUGUCAACUUAUUCAUGCGUCACCGACGACCUAUCCGGAUACGUACACCCCUUGGUUGGUGGCAAAACCAACCUGGUGUCUAGAAUACACAGUGCUGUGACUAAAUCAUACUGAUAUGCUCAAAACGAAAACCGGCAAAAAGAGAGCGGUGCCUUGGCCGAAGCCAGAUGCAAGGGCGUACAACGCCGAACCACGAUCAACUAGAUCGAAACACACGACAAAGGAGUCGAUGUGUUGCCUGGACCCAAGGUCCACAGAGAUACAAUAUAUAUGCAACCUGCUCUACAUGUCUAUCCACAACUAUUCAAAUGCAAUCAAUGAGAUACGAUAAACAAACGAUAAACAAUCAACUGACAUGUAGAGACUACGAUACUGAUAUGAAAGAACAGCGGAAGGGUGAAACGAUCUCACCGACUACCAGCUCGAAGCACUCACCUGUCACUGUCGCGUCGGAACACUGGGUACGCAGAGAGUCUACCGUACCGAUGAAGAUCCACUAGCUCAGUAUCCAAACCACUAACCCAAAGCACGAGACUCACAAACCCCCCACACAAGAUCCCCAUAAUCAGUUUUCCAAAACUGAUCACCGUAACUCACCGGAAGUCCCGAAAACCACACCGGGACGCCGUCGGGACCCACUAAGUGUCCCGAAACUCACCGACUCGUACCAUGAGUCACCCGCUGCCACAAAACACACCAAUUUGGAUGUCUUGGCAGCAAACACAAGAUAACACCACUACACAAUUAUCGCCGAAUAAUUAUACGAAUACGAGUUCCCGGAAGCGUCUAUUUCGACACCGAAACCCACCGUCGCUCACCCAUCAUCACCGAACACAUAAAAUGAUGAUGGUGACCAGCCAAUAAGGCUGAGCGACAAUUCACAGGAUAAACAAACCACGUCGGAAGAAAUCCGAACUGAAACCGCGUUCUUUCGGCGAAUUUCGCCGAAAAACGCACCGAAAUUGACUUUUCUAUUUCCGCGAAAGCUACAGGAUCAUGGACAAUCAGUCCAGAGGUCAAACACACUCAUACACACUGUCCACAGUGGCCCUAGGGUGCACAAUUGUACAAAAGUCCCUCUAAUUACAUAAAAUCCUAUCAUUUCAUGUAAUUUAAGCGAUUAAGUGGCCGGUUCACGCAAACCGAGGACUUCCAAGGUCUGCCAAUACACGUACUAAUAGGUCUCGAUGUGCCGGAGGCCGUGCUCACUAUCUGGAGCACAACGGCUCACUGUGGGAGGCGCGGGAGCAACCCAAAGGUUCUGCGAACAGCGAGCAGUCAGGAAAAAUCGCGUCGAACAGACCAAUACGACAUCCGCUGAUCCAAAGUAAGGUGAGAACUGUGAUUAGGACAGACCAGCGAUCACAGUGCUCACCUCCGAAGGCAUCAGGACAGCCUCGGAUCGUCGAAAAAGUGCGCACAAACCCGCAACAGCAGCCAAAAAGGCUCCACAGGGUCGACACGGCCAAAACAGUGGAACGGAGUCUCCCCGACAGAAUCUAAGGUGAGCACGAUGAUCAGAAAUUUUCCACGAUCAUCGUGCUCCCUUCCGCAGAGAUCGGGGAGGCUCGGGUUGCUCGAAACAGCAAACCGCCAAGGAAUAGCCCUAUUUCGGGCUUGGCCGGAGCAAGCUUGCUCCGGCUAGCUUCCUGCGGCACGGCAAGGCGCUCGCCGGCCAGGGAUGGGUGCGGGGGAAGAGAGGAGCACAGGGCUCACCUUAGCCGGCGGCGAGGUGCGGCGGCAGCAGCAGCGGAGCAGCUUGAGCCCACAUGGGCUAGGGCUCGGGUACCAGAGCAAUGGCGGCCACGGCGGCGGCCGGGAAGCUCAGGGAUGGCGGCAGAGGGUUGCUGGAGGCCGGAGGGCUGCCUCAGGCACGGCCCCGAGCGACGGCGGUGCGGGGGUAGGAGACGCGGCUUGCCUCGGCCUGCACAGGUCUGGGGCGGCUGCAGCUGGCCGAGGUGGCGGCGGCGGCCCGCAGGGGCGGUGGCGGCCGGCGGGGAGGCUGCUGGAGCUCCAGGGAGGACGGCCGGGGUGGUCUCAGGUGGUUGCUACGUGAGGAUGAGGCCGCACAAUCUGCUCGGCCUGGGCUUGGGCUAGGUGGCUGCAGGCGGCUGGAGCGGCAGCGGCGGCGCUCUGGGCGGCGGCGGCCGGCGGGAGGGAUCGCCGGGGUUCAAUAGUGACGGCAGAAGAGGGACCAAGGGAGGGGUGCGUAGUACCACCCUCGGCCAAGAAACAAAGAGGAAAUGGUGGUGGACGAGAUAAAAAGACAAAGAGGAAGGAGAAGUAGCUAACUCUGGCGGCCGGAGACGCGCGCCGGCGGCUGGGGUACGUGCAGUUAGGGUAGGGGAGGUAGAUGGAGUGGCUGGGGGUGCGGCUAAGGUCUAGGGUUAGGGUUUCCAGUGCAAAACCCUAGAAUACCUUAUAUAUACUUAGCUCCAAAUUGCAGAAAAGCCCAUCUAGACUCGAUAAUUCUAUCCGAGUCCCUGACAACGUGAGUAAAUCGCGCAGAUACCCCUCCACGUCCGGUUUCACGCAAAACGGUACAUAAAAUGUCACGACUUUUGCGAAAUUACUGUUUUGCCAACACCGACCUCUCCACGAUCAACGCGCGAUUUCUGCAGAUCCAUCGGUCAGAUUUGCGAACGGAUUGCGCCAGUGCAAUCAGCACGACGGAGACAACAAAGCCACGAUUUUGGUUCACCUCGAUCAUUCACAGAUUUGCGACAAAAUCCGCUUUCUCUCUGAAAGGCCAAAAUGACACACAAAUACAUAUAAACAUGUAUUUUCAUAUUUUCUCGAAAUCCGUGCAUCAAACCCAAAAUUCGUCAGCGCCAAAAGUUCCAGAAUAGCUGAACCAUUCGAAACGAGCUAUUGGACUACUAUGAACGGAGUCCGAUACGAGCCAGAAGCCACCUCUACGCAUUGAGCUCUCCGGAAAACCAAGUUACUAUUCACUUUAAGUGAAACUUGGAAAUCGCGUAGAAUCUCCAUUUUAACUCGGUUUCUUCCGAAGCUUGAAAAGUGCUUUUGUAAUUAAAUUACACACAAAAACACCGUCAACUGAGAGUUUUGCUACACUGCCAAAAUCUCGGUCCUUAUAUCAUCCCCCCCUUAAAGAAAGUUUCGUCCCCGAAACUUGCUCACAGGCAGGGGUGAUCCGAAGCUAGAGUACCAACACUCGCCUCGGAGGCUACAACCUCCCAAUGAACUGAACUAUAACCUGACGAAGUCAAAACUUAUCCAUAGGAAACCAUCGAUGGCACCCGACUCUCUUAGGUUCAAGACCUAACCAUUUGCCUAGACCAAAAAGGUCUGAGGCUGCCAGUACCAGUUGAGCCAACAAUUUAGCCUGCUCAACACUCAAACGUAAAAGCAAUGCAUGUCCGUCACUAGGUGAACAGAGUUGCCACUCGCAACAAGCGAUCAAAACCACCAGUGAUGCUCAACAUCUGUCUCUACGAGACCCUGUCGCUGUCAUCCCCAAGGGACCCUAGCGAUCGAUGUUCCUUGCAGCACUAAAUGCCCAUCUCAUCGAGACUACAACAUACCUUUCACCAAGUGACCGAACAACGACCCAAUCCCAACCAAGGUAUCCCAGGUAAACUAAAACAUAUACCUUGUACAACAACGCAAGUUGUGACCUCUGAGCCAACCACCAGGCUCACUAGAUGAUCAAAGAUGGCAGUCACCUCUCAUGGAAGAGAAAAGAAAUACCAACCCAAUCCAGAUAUUCCCCAAAGGGGUAGGGUAUCUUGUCCUAACUUUUGACAAUACGUUGUCUGCAGCCAACGUACUUAUCGAAAGAAAGGUCAAAUACCCACAGAUCCAUCUCCAACAAAAAGUUGGAGACGUGACACAAAACUAAGUCAAUCAAUAACUCUAUGAUGCACUAGAAUGCACGAACAGAGACCUAGCAUCACGACUGCACAAUAGCUAGAUCCGACACACACCGUACUGACAAUGAACCCACAAAAGGUCAAAACAUCCGCCCAGGCAAUCCCACCAGCAAAACUAUCCGACAUAACUCAAAAGAGUGCACCUUGUGCUGGCGGAUUGACCAGCAAAGGUCUCAUUGUCCUGUGUUGGAGGUUGGGCGAUAACAGUAGCAAUAGCAGCCUGUCAACACCUCACUGCUCAAAGAUAGACUACUCACUGCCCCCACUCCUAACACCAAAACGACUACAUACCAUACCCUGCAGCACAAGAAACACAAGGUAAAAAACACAAAUCAACCUUCGAGCCACCAAGCUCGAUAACCACGAGAUUAAAUCUAGAAUACCCCGCGCUCGUACGUGCUUACGAUCUUAUGGUCAUCCUAUGGUCAACCUAACCAAUGGUUAAGUUAGAAAACUUAUAAAUGCAGUUGUAGUUGUUUCACUCUCUGAUACCAUCUUAAUCUGUCACGCCCAGGGGCCGAUUUUAAAAGCCAUUUUAAAAUCCAUUACCAUUUUGAAACAGAGUUGCGGAAGACGUGCCAUUUUUUUUUUUCAACCUAGCCCACGUGACAUACAGAUCCGCCACAAAUACAAAGUUCCUCAGUCCACUCGAACAGAGUCUCCUUUGUAUUUGCACGGCGUACCAACUAUACAACAGGAUUUCAACCACAACCUACAUUUACCAAUCAACAACCAAUUCAUGAUAUGCAUUUCCAUACAACUAACGAUCCUUAGAAAUGAUGCAUGCCUCUAAGCACUCCUUAGGCGCUGGAUGAUGCAAUACACAAUACAACAAACAUCCUAUUUAAAAGUGCUCCCCACACGGAAGCUUUUAUCUUUAAACUCUAAUUCAUUCAUUCAUGAAAACUAUUCGAAAACCUUUUUAAAACUGUUUCCCACACGAAAACUCUAUUUUGAAAAUCAACUAUCUCGAGGGGUAAAAAACCACGAUGCGUAAAUAUGUAUACAUACACAAAUCCGAGAACUAAAUAUUCAUAAAACCAAAACUAGUGAUCCACAAAAUCUCUAAUCAUACAUAACGAAAAUCACAAACAUUCAAACAUCUAACUGAACUAUUUACUAUUAACAACAACUAAAUGCGGGAAGAAAUAUAACCAGGGUGACGGUCGCUACUGCCGACUAGCUAGAUCGUCCUCCCAUCGAGCCCAAAUACCAACUCCUCGUCCAUGUCACCUGGGGGGAAUGGGGGGUGAGAAACCGCAACUAUGGUUUCCCAGUGGGUACGACAGAGCCACGAAGGCAAGCCGUAAU
This 5968-nucleotide long non-coding RNA is filed under the name Ananas comosus (pineapple). RNAcentral describes it as "long non-coding RNA (ACOM_LNC031581)". Lineage: Eukaryota; Viridiplantae; Streptophyta; Magnoliopsida; Poales; Bromeliaceae. The record is from RNAcentral.